AGACAUUUAGGUUAUAUUUAAACUCUAAACCUUCAAAGUUUAAUAAAGAUUUUUUUUCUAAUGUUGU
Molecule: transfer RNA, 67 nt
Filed under: Rhopalaea idoneta
Lineage: Eukaryota; Metazoa; Chordata; Ascidiacea; Aplousobranchia; Diazonidae
Description: transfer RNA-Trp
Source: RNAcentral